AACGAACGCUGGCGGCAUGCCUAACACAUGCAAGUCGAACGAGACCUUCGGGUCUAGUGGCGCACGGGUGCGUAACGCGUGGGAACCUGCCCUUAGGUUCGGAAUAACUCCCCGAAAGGGGUGCUAAUACCGGAUAAUGUCUUCGGACCAAAGAUUUAUCGCCUUUGGAUGGGCCCGCGUUGGAUUCGCUAGUUGGUAGGGUAAAAGCCUACCAAGGCGACGAUCCAUAGCUGGUCUGUGAGGAUGAUCAGCCACACUGGGACUGAGACACGGCCCAGACUCCUACGGGAGGCAGCAGUGGGGAAUAUUGGACAAUGGGCGAAAGCCUGAUCCAGCAAUGCCGUGGGAGUGAUGAAGGCCUUAGGGUUGUAAAGCUCUUUUACCCGGGAUGAUAAUGACAGUACCGGGAGAAUAAGCUCCGGCUAACUACGUG
This 433-nucleotide ribosomal RNA is filed under the name uncultured bacterium. RNAcentral describes it as "partial 16S ribosomal RNA". It matches the Rfam family "Bacterial small subunit ribosomal RNA", at positions 29 to 507 of the family's 1533-position model. The record is from RNAcentral.